UACGUAGGGUGCGAGCGUUGUCCGGAAUUACUGGGCGUAAAGAGCUCGUAGGUGGUUUGUCGCGUUGUUCGUGAAAACCGGGGGCUUAACCCUCGGCGUGCGGGCGAUACGGGCGGACUGGAGUACUGCAGGGGAGACUGGAAUUCCUGGUGUAGCGGUGGAAUGCGCAGAUAUCAGGAGGAACACCGGUGGCGAAGGCGGGUCUCUGGGCAGUAACUGACGCUGAGGAGCGAAAGCGUGGGGAGCGAACAGG
Molecule: ribosomal RNA, 253 nt
Filed under: uncultured bacterium
Lineage: Bacteria
Description: partial 16S ribosomal RNA
Rfam family: Bacterial small subunit ribosomal RNA
Source: RNAcentral